GCUUUAGCUCCUCCUGAAACAAAAGAUAAGUAGCAUCUCCACUAACCUUUAGGAAGUAGAUCAACUUGCAUAGGUUGUAUAUCCCCAAUGGGAAGAAAAAAAAUGGAACAAUAGAAAUUGGAAAGUUUUCCUGACCUGAUCUUAUUUCUAAAUGGGUGAAUGGAAUAGGGUAAAUCUGUAAAUAUACUGGUAGUAGUAUUCAUAAGAACUCUAAUUAACAAACAUAGAUCUAUGAAUUUUAAAAAAAAUAAACAUCUCAUAAAACACAGUAAAUCAUAAAUGUAUCUUUUACUUUUUUUUUUAAUAACAUGUUUGUAUGUACACAUUUUCAACUACUUAAAAACUGUACACAUCAAGUCAAUUGUGUUGCGCACACACACACACACACAGUCACUCAGCUAUUAUAAACACUAGAGUACCAUACACAGAAUUAACAAGUCACCAAGUUCAGCUAGUAAUAGUAGUCAUCCUUAGAAAUGGAAUAAUUCACACCAUUGCCUGCUGUCAAUGGACAUCCUCCAACAUGUGAGCAAUCUCUACUAGUUUC
Non-coding RNA from Biomphalaria pfeifferi, 547 nucleotides. Lineage: Eukaryota; Metazoa; Mollusca; Gastropoda; Planorbidae. The record is from the annotation of a GenBank genome assembly.